UACUUUUAUGAAAGGAGAGAAGGUUAGCAAUCCCCUUGAUAAGGAUGGAAGUGGACCUCAGACCUGACAACAUGCGUAUGGUUAAGGCACUGACACUUAAUUUGUCACAUCUAACCAGUUUUUUAG
This is a small nuclear RNA of Trichechus manatus latirostris (Florida manatee), 126 nucleotides long. The record is from RefSeq and is a predicted model, not a curated record. NCBI's taxonomy places the organism in Eukaryota, Metazoa, Chordata, Mammalia, Sirenia, Trichechidae.